AGAGCGAACGCUGGCGGCAUGCUUAACACAUGCAAGUCGCACGGUCAGCAAUGGCAGUGGCGGACGGGUGAGUAACGCGUAGGUAUCUAUCCACGGGUGGGGGACAACGUCGGGAAACUGACGCUAAUACCGCAUGAUACCCGAGGGUCAAAGGCGCAAGUCGCCUGUGGAGGAGCCUGCGUACGAUUAGCUUGUUGGUGGGGUAAAGGCCUACCAAGGCGACGAUCGUUAGCUGGUCUGAGAGGAUGAUCAGCCACAUUGGGACUGAGACACGGCCCAAACUCCUACGGGAGGCAGCAGUGGGGAAUAUUGGACAAUGGGCGAAAGCCUGAUCCAGCAAUGCCGCGUGUGUGAAGAAGGUCUUCGGAUUGUAAAGCACGUUUCGGCGGGGACGAUGAUGACGGUACCCGCAGAAGAACGCCCCGGCUAACUUCGUGCCAGCAGCCGC
RNAcentral lists this ribosomal RNA (448 nucleotides) under uncultured bacterium. Its description in RNAcentral is "SSU rRNA". It matches the Rfam family "Bacterial small subunit ribosomal RNA", at positions 26 to 518 of the family's 1533-position model. The record is from RNAcentral.